Molecule: non-coding RNA, 90 nt
Organism: Brochothrix thermosphacta
Lineage: Bacteria; Bacillati; Bacillota; Bacilli; Caryophanales; Listeriaceae
Source: Rfam
GGAGGAUUACCCAAGUCUGGCUGAAGGGAACGGUCUUGAAAACCGUCAGGCGAGUAAAAUCGCGCGGGGGUUCGAAUCCCUCAUCCUCCU